RNAcentral lists this long non-coding RNA (349 nucleotides) under Mytilus galloprovincialis (Mediterranean mussel). Lineage: Eukaryota; Metazoa; Mollusca; Bivalvia; Mytilida; Mytilidae. The record is from RNAcentral.
GCCUUUUUCAACUGAUUUGUAUAGUUCGUUCUUAUGUUGUACUGUUACACCACUGUCCCAGGUUAAGGGGAGGGUUGGGAUCCCGCUAACAUGUUUAGCCUCGCCACAUUCUGUAUGUAUGUGCCUGUCCAAAGUCAGGAGUCUUUAAUUCAGUGGUUGUCGUUUGUUGCUGUGUUACAUAUUUGUUUUUGUUCAUUUUUUUUUUAUACAUAAAUUAGGCCGUUAGUUUUCUCGUUUGAAUUGUUCUACAUUUGUCAUUUCAGGUCUUUUUAUAGCUAACUAUGAGGUAUGAGCUUUGCUCAUUGUUGAAGGUCGUACGGUGACCUAUAGUUGUUAAUUUCUGUGUCAC